UUCGAGGAGGCUGGUGAGAGAGUGGUGGAGAAAUUCAUUCGGGACGCCUGUUCAUUUCGUUCCCCCUCUCUCUGGUUGUUCUCACUCCUCUUUCAUCGCUCGCAACGACCGGCGAUUCGCCUCCAUCCGCUCUCAUCUCCUACAUCGGCGCCAUCCUCUGGAUCCCGACGGGCAUCCUCGGCGGUUCGGGAGCUCAGUGCAAGCAUCUGGAAUCCGGCGAGAUGAUCGGGGGGAGGAGGCGAUGCCGCUGCGGCCCAGCGAGCGGACGGAGCUCCGGCGGAGCGGCUUCAAGGCGUCGGUGGACGGGCGAGGGGCGGCGACGGCGCAGCGCGUCGACGUCACCGUCGGUAUCUGCAAGGGCGGCCGCGGCAGCGCGCUGGCGAAGGGCCGCGGCGGCGGCGGCGGCGGCGCAGCACCCGCCGCUAGCCGUCGACAAGGAGUUGGCUAAGCGGUUGUUUUCGGAUGAGAGCAGAAUGUAGUUGGAGGCCGUCCGUCAGAGAGUUCAGGGACCUGCAUUCGAUCGCUCGAGUUUAUGUAAACUGCUCUGGUCGUUAACAAUGGUAACAAAAAUCAGAGAACCCCCCGAUUGACAAGGUGAUCGGCUCUGGAGUGCUACCGUGCUUUCUACAUUUGAUUUCUAGGGAGGAGUGCCCUGACCUUCAGAUUUUCAAUCUUACAGGUACGCAUCUACAACAGUGGAAAUUUUUUGGGAGGGGGGAGCAAUGAGGUGGAUCCAGCACAUUUGUCUUGUCCGGACGAAGUUCAGUUUUUGCACUUCUAGCAACUUUGUAACACAAGAUCUGCAUUUUUGCAUCAGGGGAUGUCUUUUUUUUUCUGUGGAUCUCUUUUUGUUGCUGGAACCCGAAAAACAUGCAUCUGUAGAUGAUGGGCACAUAUAAAAAUCUCUUUGGACCCA
Molecule: long non-coding RNA, 916 nt
Organism: Panicum hallii
Lineage: Eukaryota; Viridiplantae; Streptophyta; Magnoliopsida; Poales; Poaceae
Exons: 5
Source: RefSeq, a predicted model, not a curated record